Molecule: long non-coding RNA, 302 nt
Organism: Frankliniella occidentalis (western flower thrips)
Lineage: Eukaryota; Metazoa; Arthropoda; Insecta; Thysanoptera; Thripidae
Exons: 2
Source: RefSeq, a predicted model, not a curated record
AAAAGAUCUCAACUUUGACUGGACUCGAUCUAUUUCUACUUUUAAAUCUGCUUCAGAAGAAUGAAGUAUCACCAUGUCUCUGAAAUAUAACGUGCUUGAUAUAUUUAGUACGAUAAAAAGAAAACUUCAAAAGCAAUAAGGAUGAGUGAAGAGACAAAGUGUCAGAUGUGCUUACAUCAGAGACCAUUGACGAAAGUGAUGGAGAUGGUGACGGGUUUCUCUUGUGGAAAGCCAUUUUCUGUUUUGAAACAAGCAAAACUCACUUAAUGUCCGACUAAUAGAAAAAUAAUUAAUGAAAGUUA